AAAGCGACCGUAGCCGGGCCGAUAAGUCAGAGGUGAAAAGCUGCGGCUCACCGGUAGAUAUGCCCUUGAUACUGUCGGUCUUGAGUCAUGGUGAAAUGGGCGGAAUAUGUAGUGUAGCGGUGAAAUGCAUACAUAUUACAUAGAACACCGAUUGCGAAGGCAGCUCACUAACCAUAUACUGACGCUGAUGGACGAAAGCGUGGGGAGCGAACAGGAUUAGAUACCCUGGUAGUCCACGCCGUAAACGAUGGAUACUAGCUGUCCGGGGCCCUGAGUCCUGGGCGGCCAAGCGAAAGUGAUAAGUAUCCCACCUGGGGAGUACGUUCGCAAGAAUGAAACUCAAAGGAAUUGACGGGGGCCCGCACAAGCGGUGGAGCAUGUGGUUUAAUUCGAUGAUACCCGAGGAACCUUACCAGGGCUUAAAUGCAUUACGACAGGGGCAGAGAUGCCUUUUCCUUCGGGCCGUUUUGCAAGGUGCUGCAUGGUUGUCGUCAGCUCGUGCCGUGAGGUGUCAGGUUAAGUCCUAUAACGAGCGCAACCCCUACCGUUAGUUGCCAGCAUGUCAUGAUGGGGACUCUAACGGGACUGCCGGUGCAAACCGCGAGGAAGGUGGGGACGACGUCAAAUCAUCACGGCCCUUACGUCCUGGGCCACACACGUGCUACAAUGGCAGGUACA
This 678-nucleotide ribosomal RNA is filed under the name uncultured Flavobacteriaceae QSSC9L-8. RNAcentral's name for it is "bacterial SSU rRNA". It matches the Rfam family "Bacterial small subunit ribosomal RNA", at positions 562 to 1241 of the family's 1533-position model. Lineage: Bacteria; Pseudomonadati; Bacteroidota; Flavobacteriia; Flavobacteriales; Flavobacteriaceae. The record is from RNAcentral.